RNAcentral lists this long non-coding RNA (607 nucleotides) under Eucalyptus grandis. Its description in RNAcentral is "long non-coding RNA (EGRA_LNC004037)". The record is from RNAcentral. Lineage: Eukaryota; Viridiplantae; Streptophyta; Magnoliopsida; Myrtales; Myrtaceae.
GCCACCAAAUCAUCAGGUCAUCUCUUCUCCAGUUAAGCUUUGUUGUUGGCGUCGAUUUGUUCUAGACUGGCCUCUCUCGAUCUCUGUUCUGUUCCUUUUUUCUUUUUCUUUUUUUUCCUCCCCUUUCGCUUGACUGCUUCAUCGUCAGACAUUUGCUGCGUCGUCGUGCCGAGACACUCCUCAUCACCAAAAGCCAGAAGCGGGACUGCGACAGCAGAAACCAAGGAGAUGCGGUCGCGAUUGCUUUCGAUAAUUCCGCUUGCGUAGCUCGCUGCAUCAGAGGGAUCGAGUCAACUAAAACCUUCCACAAAGAACAAUAAUCAUUGAUGCACCACACGUAACGGUAAUCAUCGAUGUGCCAUUUUGAUACUAGCAACAUCAUCUAAAAGCAGUUUCGCCUUGACAGCAAACCGACCGAAUAAGAACGAAGCAACUGGAAUGACAUCAGUUGGAGCUUGAAUUCAUGGAAACGAGCGGCAGCGACAAUGAUCUGCAUCUGACGCCCCUGAAGGUCUUCUGGUGGAGACAUUGCUAGCCGAAGACAAUGAAUGUGACUUGGAAUUUCUGUCUACUCCGAGCUCAGCGUCGAGGUAGAGAAGGCCAGGCC